UUUCCGUAGGUGAACCUGCGGAAGGAUCAUUAAACAUUUUUGGCCGUAACAAGCCUUAAACCUUAUCUAUACGUACCUCCACAUUCUCCUUCGGCGGGGUAACACCCGCCGUCGGAACAACAAACCCUCUUUGCAUCUAGUAUUCUACCAGUUCUGAUAAAAAAAAUUAAUCGUUACAACUUUCAACAAUGGAUCUCUUGGCUCUGGCAUCGAUGAAGAACGCAGC
RNAcentral lists this unclassified non-coding RNA (226 nucleotides) under uncultured fungus. Its description in RNAcentral is "sequence contains ITS1, 5.8S rRNA gene". The stretch from base 178 to 226 matches the Rfam family "5.8S ribosomal RNA", at positions 1 to 49 of the family's 154-position model. Lineage: Eukaryota; Fungi. The record is from RNAcentral.